AACUAACGCUAUUAUUGAUACAGUUUCUGUACUAUAUUGGUAUGCGAAGCUUCCGGACACGUCCUAACGGUUGUGUUUUGGAAAAAUAUGGAAGGAGGAUCUUCGGAUCC
RNAcentral lists this unclassified non-coding RNA (110 nucleotides) under Trypanosoma livingstonei. RNAcentral's name for it is "trans-spliced leader". The record is from RNAcentral. Lineage: Eukaryota; Euglenozoa; Kinetoplastea; Trypanosomatida; Trypanosomatidae.